Molecule: ribosomal RNA, 147 nt
Filed under: Listeria monocytogenes
Lineage: Bacteria; Bacillati; Bacillota; Bacilli; Caryophanales; Listeriaceae
Description: partial 23S ribosomal RNA
Rfam family: Bacterial large subunit ribosomal RNA
Source: RNAcentral
CUAAGCGUGAAGCCCCCCUCAAGAUGAGAUUUCCCAUUUCUUCGGAAAGUAAGAUCCCUGAAAGAUGAUCAGGUAGAUAGGUUUGGAGUGGAAGUGUAGCGAUACAUGGAGCGGACAAAUACUAAUCGAUCGAGGACUUAACCAAAA